AAAUUGAAGAGUUUGAUCAUGGCUCAGAUUGAACGCUGGCGGCAGGCCUAACACAUGCAAGUCGAACGGUAACAGGAAGCAGCUUGCUGCUUCGCUGACGAGUGGCGGACGGGUGAGUAAUGUCUGGGAAACUGCCUGAUGGAGGGGGAUAACUACUGGAAACGGUGGCUAAUACCGCAUAACGUCGCAAGACCAAAGAGGGGGACCUUCGGGCCUCUUGCCAUCAGAUGUGCCCAGAUGGGAUUAGCUAGUUGGUGAGGUAACGGCUCACCAAGGCGACGAUCCCUAGCUGGUCUGAGAGGAUGACCAGCCACACUGGAACUGAGACACGGUCCAGACUCCUACGGGAGGCAGCAGUGGGGAAUAUUGCACAAUGGGCGCAAGCCUGAUGCAGCCAUGCCGCGUGUAUGAAGAAGGCCUUCGGGUUGUAAAGUACUUUCAGCGGGGAGGAAGGUAUUGUGGUUAAUAACC
This 471-nucleotide ribosomal RNA is filed under the name Salmonella enterica. RNAcentral's name for it is "bacterial SSU rRNA". It matches the Rfam family "Bacterial small subunit ribosomal RNA", at positions 1 to 468 of the family's 1533-position model. The record is from RNAcentral. Lineage: Bacteria; Pseudomonadati; Pseudomonadota; Gammaproteobacteria; Enterobacterales; Enterobacteriaceae.